Octodon degus (degu) is the source of this 135-nucleotide long non-coding RNA. RefSeq lists it as uncharacterized. The transcript has 3 exons. The record is from RefSeq and is a predicted model, not a curated record. Lineage: Eukaryota; Metazoa; Chordata; Mammalia; Rodentia; Octodontidae.
AAAGCUUCUUAUCUGCUGAUGUAAAGAAAGAAGGACUGGUAUGACCCCUGGGGUGCCUUCUGUGGGGGCCUGGUGUCCUCCUGUGCUCUUUGUACAAAUAAACCUGAGGCAGGAAAAAAAAAAUAAAGGUCAAAA